RNAcentral lists this long non-coding RNA (533 nucleotides) under Daphnia pulicaria. Its description in RNAcentral is "uncharacterized LOC124348557, transcript variant X2". Lineage: Eukaryota; Metazoa; Arthropoda; Branchiopoda; Diplostraca; Daphniidae. The record is from RNAcentral.
CUUCCCUCCCGAGUCUUUGUGUUAAUCCGUCUGCUAGCCUUCGUACGACGUUAAGACCACGCUGGUUUCACUGUCGAAAGAGCUAGUUACUGUCACGAUUAUUAUUCUUUUCUGUGUUUCGUGAAGCCAUUUAUUCAGCUUUUUCAGCUCGUUUUCUGUUCUGAGCUGUCAGUUCAAACCCUAUUCUGAGUGCUUUUGCUUGCCUAGCAUUGGCUUCAUAUCUAUAUUCCCUGUCUGUGUGCAUAUUGGUCUGGGUGACCACUCACAUUUUCUCGUGUCACCCCAGGUACAAUCCUUCCAUGUUUCUUUUCCGUUCCCCAACUAACUCUUUUUCUUUUGGUUUAGACAUCACACGUAUGUCAGUUCACUGUAUGUCAACACAGUUUGAGUCCUACACAUAUUUCAUUUUGUGUCGUGCUUGACCCAGCAUCAACUUGCGAAUAAACUAUAGGGGCUGCUUACAACAGACCCCAGAAGAAACUCUGAAGGCUCUCACUAAAUCCAUAGCGUCGAAACAUUUUGGAGCUUCUGCC